UACGUAGGGACCUAGCGUUGUCCGGAAUCAUUGGGCGUAAAGCGCGCGUAGGCGGCCCGGUAAGUCCGUUGUAAAAGUCGAAGGCUCAACCUUCGAAAGCCGAUGGAUACUGCCGGGCUAGAGUCCGGAAGAGGCGAGUAGAAUUCCUGGUGUAGCGGUGAAAUGCGCAGAUAUCAGGAGGAACACCGGUGGCGAAGGCGGGUCUCUGGGCCGAAAUUGACGCUGAGGAGCGAAAGCGUGGGGAGCAAACAGG
This 253-nucleotide ribosomal RNA is filed under the name uncultured bacterium. Its description in RNAcentral is "partial 16S ribosomal RNA". It matches the Rfam family "Bacterial small subunit ribosomal RNA", at positions 524 to 776 of the family's 1533-position model. The record is from RNAcentral.